AAUUAAGUUGUUUAUGUUUUAAAAUGUGUAAUGCUAUAAAAUGUUUGAUAAUCCAUCUCAACAUCAACAACAACAAAAAAAAAAUCUCCAGAGGCAUACUAAGUAUAAAAAAGAUAUUAAAAGCAAAAUAUGUUAAGUCCAUCUUGGACAUGAGUCUAAAUUUCUUCUCAUGUUGUGUACAGGACCCAGCAUAGUGUAAAAUCAUGACACUUGCAUCAUGCUUAAAGAAUGUUAAUGUGAUGUUUUUCUUGGACAAAUGUCGCCCCCUGGUGUAAUAAUGAUGACUAUACGCUGUAAGCCAACAUAAAUAUUUUGACAAGUUCAUUUACUAUUAAGAGGGAAAAUGCAGCUGGAAAGACAGUGAAGCUUUCUUAUUUUAUUUUAUUUUUUUAAUAUAUAUUAAAAGUUGUAUAGGCCUGUUAUUUUGUCAUUAUAGUCCUAGUCCAUAUACAUUAAAUAUAUCAUAUUAAUAAAUCAUAUAUAUUAUUACCGAUGUAAAGGUAAUUUUGAGACAUUUGACAGGAAAAGCACAAAACAGAAAGGGACCCAUGACUGUCAAAACUGUUUUUGUUCUUAAAUAUAUUUUAAUAUUUUUAUGAAAAUGCAUGUGCUAAUCAUGUUCACACUAACAUAACAUAUAUAACAUAUAACAUAUAUAUAUAUAUUUUAUUAUUAUUAUUAUUAUUAUUUUAUGUUUUGACACAGUCUAACGGGGCCAUUUCUGUUUUGUGCUUUUCCUGUCAGAUGAGAAAAAAUAUAUAUCAAAAUGACAUUUACAUCAGAAAUGAAAAACAUCAUCAUGUUUGCAGCCAGUAUGACUUUCACCUACAGAGUGGAAACGCCUUUUUUCUUGCAGGGGGCAUUGUGUGGUCACGUUCGAUGACAGGACACUCAAAUAGGUCGCACGAUUUUAACAGCACGUUUCACAACAAAACGUAGCGCCAAAGGAAAUGCCUCUUCUAACAAUCCUAAUAACCCAGCAGUCGCGAAACAUGUCAAUACGGCUCUGCGACAUGUGAUUCGCUCGAGUGUUUGUAAACAUGCGUCAAAAGCAUGUGAUUCUGCUGACGACAUACUGCGUUCUGGAAGGACAGCCAAUCAGAAAGCGGGGGUGUGUGAGCUGGGCGGGGCCUCGCUGUAGCACUGUGGAACAUUCUACGCGCUCGGCAACAAGACGCUUCUGAUUGAAAAAUGCAGUUCAAGCCAAUAUCAUCCAUCGUUUGACAUCUCUAAGAGACAGAAUAACUCGACGACACGUUUGUUCAGUGAUUUCAGGAUGAAGAGCGACUGCAACAUUUUAAAGGUAAGUAUGCACGUAUGAGCAAACAUCUUUAGAUUAUUUUUGUAUAGAUUUUCGA
This is a long non-coding RNA of Megalobrama amblycephala (Wuchang bream), 1358 nucleotides long. RefSeq lists it as uncharacterized. The record is from RefSeq and is a predicted model, not a curated record. The transcript is spliced from 2 exons. Lineage: Eukaryota; Metazoa; Chordata; Actinopteri; Cypriniformes; Xenocyprididae.